AAGUCGUAACAAGGUAUCCGUAGGUGAACCUGCGGAUGGAUCAUUAACGAUACGUGUUGUUCUUCACGGAACACACGUUCCUACCAACCAAACCUGUGCGAGGAGUGUCGGGUUGAAAGCCGGCUACUCCGUUUCUUUCUAUUUCUUUUUUCUUAUACAAACCUUAAAACCCUAUUUCUUCGUUUUCGAAGGACUGAAACCACACUGUUUCAAAUCGAAAGUAAGCGUCAGUUUACAAUCGUUUCUAUUAGACUUGGGAAACCAAGUUGAACGGACAGGUUGUGUAACGUUUGACACUUCCGAUUAGAUAUGAAAUCCUGUACAACUCUUAGCAACGGAUAUCUUGGUUCUC
This 352-nucleotide unclassified non-coding RNA is filed under the name fungal sp. RNAcentral's name for it is "partial internal transcribed spacer region". The stretch from base 1 to 46 matches the Rfam family "Eukaryotic small subunit ribosomal RNA", at positions 1786 to 1831 of the family's 1831-position model. The record is from RNAcentral. Lineage: Eukaryota; Fungi.